Molecule: transfer RNA, 74 nt
Organism: Marinobacter antarcticus
Lineage: Bacteria; Pseudomonadati; Pseudomonadota; Gammaproteobacteria; Pseudomonadales; Marinobacteraceae
Rfam family: tRNA
About the family: Transfer RNA (tRNA) molecules are approximately 80 nucleotides in length. Their secondary structure includes four short double-helical elements and three loops (D, anti-codon, and T loops).
Source: Rfam
GCGGCUGUAGCUCAGCUGGAUAGAGUACUCGGCUACGAACCGAGCGGUCGGAGGUUCGAAUCCUCCCAGCCGCG